AGCAAAGAUUUCCUGAAAAAAAAUCAAGUUGAUUUAUGCUUGCAAAUGUUUAGAGGAUUACAUGACAAUCCUUCCUAGUAUUAUAUGUGUACUAAGGAAUCAAAAAUUCCUUAAGUCUUCGUCAAUUUUACAUUUAAAAUUAGCCUUAUUUUACAAGAAUGUCCGAAUUUUUGUUCUGCUCCUGGGGAUUACAUCUUUGAAAUUGUAACCUUUUCUCAGGUCAGAUUUGUUAUUUUAUCUGCUUCAUUCAAAACUUCGCUUUUAAAAAGCCUCCAACUGACUUCAGAAAACCCUAUUUAAUACAUAACUGCUGAUAGACUAACAACUUAUGCAUUAUUUAUUAUGUAAAUCCUUAUUACAUACUAGCCUUAACAUUCUAUCUUUGUGGGUGUAUGUAGGUACUUCAUAAAGCAUUAGCAUUCCCUCUGUAUUUUAUUUUAUUUAUGACAAAUAAAAGUGCUUUCUAAAGAAAAAUAUCCCAUGGUUUAGUGAUGUGAGCACCGAAAUUAUGCAGGAUCAAGAAUCUCAAUCCAAUGGAUUCAACAGUAGCCUGCCAAAAUACUUCUGAACUUUUCACUCACACUGGGAUUUAGCUGCUCUUUGCUUCCAUUCUGUAAAGGAGGAUGACUUGGCUAGAUGUAACUUAGGAACUUCUUGUAUAAGCCAAUCUUUCUUUUGUCAGGCAAUUCAGUGAAAAAAUAAAAUAAAUCAUAACCUGCUAGAAUGUCGUACUCUAUUUUUUCUGCAUCUGUCUGUUCUGACAAUGCAGUUUGCUGCAGAUAAAUGUGAAACACAGCAUUUCUCUUCUGCCAGCAAAUCUUGGGCAUUUGUACCAGCUUCAUUACUGAGGUUAAGCAAACAUCUCUCUGCCUUUCAUAAGUACCCAGACCACUGCCUUUUUGUAAUAUCUUUUUCUGCUCUUGGGAGGCAUUCACUGCUUGAGUACUAAAAUGACAAAAAUUUGCAACGGGCAAAGCUAAUGAAAGUUAUGACUUUUUAAAGAAGUAAUUUUUCCUGUCUAUCGCUUGCAGUGAAACCUUUCUAUCAUGAAGAAAACAUCUUGGGGAUAAUUCCAGCUUCAUAAGAGACAUGAUGUAAUUGCAGCAAAGGCAAGGACUGCUGGUUUGUGUCACCCUCCCUCCCCCCGGAGGGAUGUUCAGGCUGUGCCACUCAAUGGAGUGCCCUGGUGUGCCAGCCGCCAUGCCACCAUCUGACCAGAUUUUGUGUUUGCUGAAGUAACAAUACCUUAUACUGCUCUCACAGUUGGGCACUGUUGCCAUGGUAACAGAAAAACAUGGUGGCAAAACAUCAGCUACAUAAACAAAAGCUCUAAUAAUAACUCAGGAACUAUUUACCUUGUUAUCUUCAGUAUUUAGUGCAACACAAAACUGGAAUAAGACAGAGCAGAAAGGCUUCAGUUGGCUAACAGAGCAAUUAAGCCAAAAGAUAAAAGUGCUUACCACAGUGAUUAAACACAGAAGAUGCAGCAUCCUAAGAGCAGCAGACCACCAAAAUCAACAACUCCAGGCCUCAAAAGGAGUCACAAA
Meleagris gallopavo (turkey) is the source of this 1547-nucleotide non-coding RNA. The record is from RefSeq and is a predicted model, not a curated record. Lineage: Eukaryota; Metazoa; Chordata; Aves; Galliformes; Phasianidae.